AUUUAACUUGGUAAUGGACAGGUUACUUAGAACCUUACCCAGCGAAAUUGGUGCCAAAGUCGGAAAUGCCAUUACUAACGCGGCCGCGUUUGCAGAUGAUUUGGUACUAUUUGCGGAAACUCGGAUGGGGCUUCAAGUAUUGUUGGACAAGACGUUGGAUUUUCUAUCUAUCGUCGGCCUCAAACUUAAUGCCGACAAAUGUUUUACCGUUGGCAUUAAGGGCCAGCCGAAACAGAAGUGUACCGUGUUAGAGGCACAGAGCUUCUACGUAGGCUCGAGUGAGAUUCCAUCACUGAAGCGCACGGACGAGUGGAAGUACUUAGGCAUCAACUUCACUGCAACCGGGAGGGUUCGAUGCAAUCCGGCCGAGGACAUUGGUCCAAAGCUACAAAGAUUGACAAAGGCCCCCCUCAAACCACAACAGAGGUUGUUCGCCCUUCGGACUGUCCUUAUCCCACAGCUCUACCACAAGUUAGCCCUUGGGAGUGUGGCGAUAGGCGUCCUAAGAAAAACUGAUAAACUUAUAAGAUAUUAUGUGCGAAGAUGGCUAAAUCUUCCGCUGGAUGUGCCGAUAGCAUUUGUUCAUGCACCCCCAAAAAGUGGAGGUCUCGGAAUUCCAUCACUAAGAUGGGUAGCUCCAAUGUUAAGGCUAAGACGCUUGAGUAACAUUAAAUGGCCUCACCUCACGCAAAACGAGGUAGCCAGCUCUUUCCUCGAAGCCGAAAAACAACGGGCCCGAGAUAGAUUAUUAGCUGAACAAAAUGAACUGUUAUCGCGUCCGGCAAUAGAAAAAUAUUGGGCGAACAAGUUGUACCUCUCAGUUGAUGGUAGCGGACUCCGUGAAGCGGGCCAUUAUGGCCCGCAACACGGGUGGGUUAGUCAACCCACGCGUUUAUUAACAGGAAAGGAAUAUAUAGACGGUAUUCGUCUGCGGAUAAAUGCCCUACCCACAAAGUCUCGUACUACAAGGGGAAGGCACGAAUUGGAACGACAGUGUCGUGCAGGAUGUGAUGCUCCCGAAACAACAAACCACAUAAUGCAAAAAUGCUACCGCUCGCAUGGGAGGCGGGUAGCUAGACACAACUGCGUAGUAAAUCGAAUCAAGCGGGGACUUGAGGAGAGAGGCUGCGUGGUCAUUGUUGAACCAAGUCUGCAGUGCGAAUCCGGCCUUAAUAAACCAGACCUGGUGGCACUACGACAAAAUCACAUUGAUGUGAUCGACAUACAAAUUGUGACAGACGGACACUCUAUGGAUGAUGCGCACCAGCGCAAAAUCAAUAGAUACGACAGACCGGACAUACGAACUGAAUUGCGUCGCAGAUUCGAAGCCGCAGGUGACAUUGAAUUCCAUUCUGCCACCCUGAACUGGAGGGGAUCUGGAGUGGUCAAUCCGUUAAAAGAUUGAUAGCAAAGGGUCUCCUCAGCAAAUAUGAUAGUCAUAUCAUUAGCGUCCAGGUUAUGAGAGGCAGUCUCGGUUGUUUUAAACAGUUCAUGUACCUGAGCGGGUUUUCCCGAGAUUGGACUUAGCUAAAUCGUUUGGUUCAAAACAUUUGCUUGCUGUCUUGGCAUAACAUCAAUAAAGGCAUAAACAUCGCAAAAUAAUGGUUAUAAUUAAAUGGCUAUGAGGAUGGUUUUAGUACGUAGGCGUUGCGGAACUUCGGUUCAUAUAGAGCAAUGAAUCGUGCAUGCUAGGAAAACUGACCACACACAGUGUUGGCAGACCUAGUAUCUUUCGAAGAUUUCCAUACCUCCGCGAUCAAAAAAAAAAAAAAAAAAUAGCCAAAUGCCUCGUCAUCUAAUUAGUGACGCGCAUGAAUGGAUUAACGAGAUUCCUACUGUCCCUAUCUACUAUCUAGCGAAACCACAGCCAAGGGAACGGGCUUGGAAUAAUUAGCGGGGAAAGAAGACCCUUUUGAGCUUGACUCUAAUCUGGCAGUGUAAGGAGACAUAAGAGGUGUAGAAUAAGUGGGAGAUAUUAGACCUCGGUUUGGUAUCGUCAAUGAAAUACCACUACUCUUAUUGUUUCCUUACUUACUUGAUUAAAUGGAACGUGUAUCAUUUCCUAGCCAUUAUACGGAUAUAUUUAUUAUAUCUUAUGGUAUUGGGUUUUGAUGCAAGCUUCUUGAUCAAAGUAUCACGAGUUUGUUAUAUAAUCGCAAACAAAUUCUUUAAUAAAACGAUGCAUUUAUGUAUUUUUGAUUUGAAAAUUUGGUAUAACUCCAAUUACUCAGGUAUGAUCCAAUUCAAGGACAUUGCCAGGUAGGGAGUUUGACUGGGGCGGUACAUCUCUCAAAUAAUAACGGAGGUGUCCCAAGGCCAGCUCAGUGCGGACAGAAACCACACAUAGAGCAAAAGGGCAAAUGCUGACUUGAUCUCGGUGUUCAGUACACACAGGGACAGCAAAAGCUCGGCCUAUCGAUCCUUUUGGUUUAAAGAGUUUUUAACAAGAGGUGUCAGAAAAGUUACCAUAGGGAUAACUGGCUUGUGGCGGCCAAGCGUUCAUAGCGACGUCGCUUUUUGAUCCUUCGAUGUCGGCUCUUCCUAUCAUUGUGAAGCAAAAUUCACCAAGCGUUGGAUUGUUCACCCAUGCAAGGGAACGUGAGCUGGGUUUAGACCGUCGUGAGACAGGUUAGUUUUACCCUACUAAUGACAAAACGUUGUUGCGACAGCAUUCCUGCGUAGUACGAGAGGAACCGCAGGUACGGACCAAUGGCACAAUACUUGUUCGAGCGAACAGUGGUAUGACGCUACGUCCGUUGGAUUAUGCCUGAACGCCUCUAAGGUCGUAUCCGUGCUGGACUGCAAUGAUAAAUAAGGGGCAAUUUGCAUUGUAUGGCUUCUAAACCAUUUAAAGUUUAUAAUUUACUUUAUAAACGACAAUGGAUGUGAUGCCAAUGUAAUUUGUAACAUAGUAAAUUGGGAGGAUCUUCGAUCACCUGAUGCCGCGCUAGUUACAUAUAAAAGCAUUAUUU
RNAcentral lists this ribosomal RNA (2972 nucleotides) under Drosophila melanogaster (fruit fly). RNAcentral's name for it is "eukaryotic LSU rRNA". The stretch from base 1607 to 2972 matches the Rfam family "Eukaryotic large subunit ribosomal RNA", at positions 1891 to 3320 of the family's 3401-position model. Lineage: Eukaryota; Metazoa; Arthropoda; Insecta; Diptera; Drosophilidae. The record is from RNAcentral.